Molecule: ribosomal RNA, 505 nt
Filed under: uncultured bacterium
Lineage: Bacteria
Description: partial 16S ribosomal RNA
Rfam family: Bacterial small subunit ribosomal RNA
Source: RNAcentral
GACGAACGCUGGCGGCGUGCCUAAUACAUGCAAGUAGAACGCACGGUUUAUACCGUAGCUUGCUACACCAUAGACUGUGAGUUGCGAACGGGUGAGUAACGCGUAGGUAACCUGCCUGGUAGCGGGGGAUAACUAUUGGAAACGAUAGCUAAUACCGCAUAAUAUUAAUUAUUGCAUGAUAAUUAAUUGAAAGGUGCAAUUGCACCACUACCAGAUGGACCUGCGUUGUAUUAGCUAGUAGGUGAGGUAACGGCUCACCUAGGCGACGAUACAUAGCCGACCUGAGAGGGUGAUCGGCCACACUGGGACUGAGACACGGCCCAGACUCCUACGGGAGGCAGCAGUAGGGAAUCUUCGGCAAUGGACGAAAGUCUGACCGAGCAACGCCGCGUGAGUGAAGAAGGGUUUCGGAUCGUAAAGCUCGGUUGUAAGAGAAGAACGGGUGUGAGAGUGGAAAGUUCACACUGUGACGGUAUCUUACCAGAAAGGGACGGCUAACUACGUG